GAUUUAAUCAAAGUUAUUAUUAAAUAAUAUUGAUUUUGGAUGAAUUUAAUUUUUUAAUUAUAUUUUUGAAUUUUAAUUUUAUUAUUUUGAUUUAAUAUUUUUAAAAUAUUAUAUAUUUUAGAUUUAAAUUUGUUGUUUUAUAUUUAGUUUAAUGUUUAUAAAUUGAUAAUUAAUUUGUUUUAUUUUAAAGUUUUUAUGAACUGUGAUUUAUAGUUUAUUAUUCUAG
This 226-nucleotide ribosomal RNA is filed under the name Leishmania major. RNAcentral's name for it is "partial 12S ribosomal RNA". Lineage: Eukaryota; Euglenozoa; Kinetoplastea; Trypanosomatida; Trypanosomatidae. The record is from RNAcentral.